CGCGCGGUAGUGCAAAGGUAGCAUAACGGAGUCAUUAUCCGUUGAUAUAGGUUCGAGUCCUGUCUGCGCAACCA
This 74-nucleotide transfer RNA is filed under the name Caudoviricetes sp. RNAcentral describes it as "tRNA-Met". It matches the Rfam family "tRNA". Rfam says of the family: Transfer RNA (tRNA) molecules are approximately 80 nucleotides in length. The record is from RNAcentral. Lineage: Duplodnaviria; Heunggongvirae; Uroviricota; Caudoviricetes.